AGCAGCCGCGGUAAUUCCAGCUCCAAUAGCGUAUAUUAAAGUUGUUGCAGUUAAAAAGCUCGUAGUUGAAUUUCGGGACCAUCAUGUCGGUCGUGCCUCGGUACGUACUGGCAUUGUUGGUUUCUCCCUUCUGACGAACCAUGAUGUCAUUUAUUUGGUGUUGUGGGAAAUCAGGACUGUUACUUUGAAAAAUUAGAGUGUUUAAAGCAGGCUCACGCUUGAAUACAUUAGCAUGGAAUAAUGAAAUAGGACGUUUGAUUCUAUUUUGUUGGUUUCUAGGAUCGACGUAAUGAUUAAUAGGGAUAGUUGGGGGCAUUAGUAUUCAAUUGUCAGAGGUGAAAUUCUUGGAUUUAUUGAAGACUAACUACUGCGAAAGCAUUUGCCAAGGAUGUUUUCAUUAAUCAAGAACGAAAGUUAGGGGAUCGAAGACGAUCAGAUACCGUCGUAGUCUUAAC
Molecule: ribosomal RNA, 455 nt
Filed under: uncultured Glomus
Lineage: Eukaryota; Fungi; Glomeromycota; Glomeromycetes; Glomerales; Glomeraceae
Description: SSU rRNA
Rfam family: Eukaryotic small subunit ribosomal RNA
Source: RNAcentral